This 564-nucleotide ribosomal RNA is filed under the name uncultured Acidobacteriota bacterium. RNAcentral's name for it is "bacterial SSU rRNA". It matches the Rfam family "Bacterial small subunit ribosomal RNA", at positions 335 to 915 of the family's 1533-position model. The record is from RNAcentral. Lineage: Bacteria; Pseudomonadati; Acidobacteriota.
ACUCCUACGGGAGGCAGCAGUGGGGAAUUUUGGACAAUGGGGGCAACCCUGAUCCAGCAAUGCCGCGUGAGUGAUGAAGGCCUUAGGGUUGUAAAGCUCCUUUACCCGCGACGAUGAUGACGGUAGCGGGAGAAUAAGCCCCGGCUAACUUCGUGCCAGCAGCCGCGGUAAUACGAAGGUGGCAAGCGUUGUUCGGAUUUACUGGGCGUAAAGGGAGCGUAGGUGGUUAGGUAAGCCCUCCGGGAAAUCUUCAGGCUUAACCUGAAAAGGUCGGGGGGGACUGCCUGGCUAGAGGACGGGAGAGGAGCGCGGAAUUCCCGGUGUAGCGGUGAAAUGCGUAGAGAUCGGGAGGAAGGCCGGUGGCGAAGGCGGCGCUCUGGAACGUUUCUGACACUGAGGCUCGAAAGCGUGGGGAGCAAACAGGAUUAGAUACCCUGGUAGUCCACGCCGUAAACGAUGACUGCUUGGUGUGACGGGUACCCAAUCCCGCCGUGCCGUAGCUAACGCGUUAAGCAGUCCGCCUGGGGAGUACGGUCGCAAGGCUGAAACUUAAAGGAAUUGACG